Long non-coding RNA from Acanthochromis polyacanthus (spiny chromis), 1090 nucleotides. RefSeq lists it as uncharacterized. The transcript is spliced from 3 exons. NCBI's taxonomy places the organism in Eukaryota, Metazoa, Chordata, Actinopteri, Pomacentridae. The record is from RefSeq and is a predicted model, not a curated record.
GAUGGACGGGUCCUCGCAUCCACGCUGGUCGUGAAUCCACACACGUCCACCAGGUGGCGCUGUGACUGAGAGUGUAUGUCGGCCUCUGAAUCGCAUCUGGACCAGAGUCCAAUCAUACAUUUAAAAUUUCAGCCAGACUGUAGCAUGUUCAGAGCAGUUAUAGAGCAUUUCCUGUCUAUCCACCAGGUGGCGCUGUAACUCAGAGUGUAUUUCACACAGUGGAUGUGAUGAGGGUUGGACUCUGAUCACUCAUGAAAAGUUUCAGGCUGAUUUGAUGAUGUAGAGGCCAGUUAUACAGCAUUUACUGUCCCUCCAACAGGUGGCGCCGCGACUGAGAGUGUCUGUUGGCCUGUAGAUGUGAUCAGGAUUGGAUUGUGAUCACACAUGGAAAGUCUGAGGCAGAUUGGAGCAUGCAGAGGAGAGUUAUACAGCAGUUGAUGUUUCAUGGCGAAGCAUCAAAACGCUGAUGGUCGCCAUGGCCACGCCAUUUGGCUUCUGGUUAAACUUUUGAUAACUUUUCAUCACCAAGUCCUGCUGUGUGGACUGACAAAAUUUCAGGUCUCCUGGAAUUAUCCCCGAGGAGGUAUUAACUCUCAAAAAUGAGAAAAAUCAUCAAAAAUCUCACAAUUAAUCCAAGAUGGCCGACUUCCUGUUGGGUUUAGGACAUGGCUCCAAGAGGCUUUUUUGUGCGUCCUGAUGUGCUCUAUAAGCCUCCCAAACUUCAUGGAUGUAGGUGAAAUGUGCUGGGGGGGCUGUUUGUUAAAAAUACUGUAGGGGGCGCUAUAGCAUGUGCAGUGCCGAGAUGCAUACUGUGUCGUUCCUUGGGUCGAUGGUGAUGUGUGUGGUAAUUUUUGUGAGCAUUGGAGUAUUUCUAACCUGUCAAAUAGCACUUUGUUUUGCAUGGCGAUAUUUGGUUGCUACGGCAACAGCGUUGCAUGAAAUGUCACACCCUUGACAAUGUGGGAUUGUCAAGAGGUGAAGACUCGACUGACCAAUUUCCAGCAUGAUAUCACCAAGUUUGGGGCCAUUGUACCUGAAAAUAUAAGGCCUUAAACUUACUAUUACCAACAGGUGGCGCUAUGACUUUUUC